Long non-coding RNA from Emys orbicularis (European pond turtle), 908 nucleotides. RefSeq lists it as uncharacterized. NCBI's taxonomy places the organism in Eukaryota, Metazoa, Chordata, Testudines, Emydidae. The record is from RefSeq and is a predicted model, not a curated record. The transcript has 4 exons.
AGGGACCUGUGUGACAUUCUCCACCCCGCUGAGCAGCCAGAUUGAGGUGACAAUCCCAAAGUCUCCAGAGUCAAGCACAGAACCCAGGAGUCCUGGCUCCCAGGCCCCACUGCGCCUCUGGGAAUGAUCCAGGAUGGGGCAACUCCAGACUCUGCCUCAACACUGGAGAGCAGAGCCGAGACACCAGGACCUGCCGCAUCAGUGGAGGGGAGCAGACCUGAGGCUCCAGAGACAUCUCCCAACAAAGUUCCUGCAGAUACGGUCCAGAUACGGGAAACAGGAGCUGGGUCUCCAUGGCCCAUUCCAUCCCUGACCACGGGCUGACUCGGCCGAUGAGGAAGUCAGUCAGGGCCCUCCACAUUCCCCUGGUUCUUCCAUCCAGCGUCUCCAUCUCCAUACACCCGCUGCGCCCGAGCGCCUGCCCAUCCCCUGUGUAUUGUCCACCUGUGAAGGAUGUGGAAGGGAGAAGAGCCGUGAAGACGGUCCUGUCCUAGCUGAGAAUCAUGAACUUCAGAAACACGAACCUCAGGCUGAGGGAUCUCUUGGAAAUCAGUCCAGACAGCGUGAAGGACUCGACUCCUUAUACCUGGGGAGACUUGCCUAGGCACUUCAUAGAAUCAUAGAAUAUCAGGGUUGGAAGGGACCUCAGGAGGUCAUCUAGUCCAACCCCCUGCUCAAAGCAGGACCAAUUCCCAACUAAAUCAUCCCAGCCAGGGCUUUGUCAAGCCGGGCCUUAAAAACCUCCAAGGAAGGAGACUCCACCACCUCCCUAGGCUUCGGAGAGCUGCCAAUCUCGCACCAACAGGUCCAGACCCUGCAACAGAGAGCGCAGGAGGAGGGUCACACUGGGGCUGGGAGCACAGAGAGGAGACCAGAGCUGGAGGCUGCUGCCGAACCCCGCCACCGAC